This 402-nucleotide ribosomal RNA is filed under the name bacterium. RNAcentral describes it as "partial 16S ribosomal RNA". It matches the Rfam family "Bacterial small subunit ribosomal RNA", at positions 355 to 776 of the family's 1533-position model. The record is from RNAcentral.
UGGGGAAUUUUGCACAAUGGGGGAAACCCUGAUGCAGCGACGCCGCGUGAUUUAGAAGGCCUUCGGGUUGUAAAAAUCUUUUUUACGGGAUGAAAAUGACAGUACCGUAAGAAUAAGGUCCGGCGAAAUACGUGCCAGCAGCCGCGGUAAUACGUAUGGACCGAGCGUUGUCCGGAAUCAUUGGGCGUAAAGGGUACGUAGGCGGCCUAGUAAGUUAGAAGUGAAAUAAUAUAGCUCAACUAUAUAAAGCUUUUAAAACUGCUAGGCUUGAGAGAUGGAAGGGAAAGUGGAAUUCCUAGUGUAGCGGUGAAAUGCGCAGAUAUUAGGAAGAAUACCGGUGGCGAAGGCGACUUUCUGGUCAUCAUCUGACGCUGAGGUACGAAAGCGUGGGUAGCAAACAGG